ACAAUGGAGAGUUUGAUCCUGGCUCAGGAUGAACGCUAGCGGCAGGCUUAAUACAUGCAAGUCGUGGGGCAGCAUGGGUGUAGCAAUACAUCUGAUGGCGACCGGCAAACGGGUGCGGAACACGUACACAACCUUCCUUUAAGUGGGGAAUAGCCCAGAGAAAUUUGGAUUAAUACCCCGUAACAUAUAGAAGUGGCAUCACUUUUAUAUUAUAGCUCCGGCGCUUAAUGAUGGGUGUGCGCCUGAUUAGGUAGUUGGCGGGGUAACGGCCCACCAAGCCUUCGAUCAGUAACUGGUGUGAGAGCACGACCAGUCACACGGGCACUGAGACACGGGCCCGACUCCUACGGGAGGCAGCAGUAAGGAAUAUUGGUCAA
Molecule: ribosomal RNA, 377 nt
Filed under: Bacteroidota bacterium
Lineage: Bacteria; Pseudomonadati; Bacteroidota
Description: bacterial SSU rRNA
Rfam family: Bacterial small subunit ribosomal RNA
Source: RNAcentral